RNAcentral lists this ribosomal RNA (225 nucleotides) under uncultured bacterium. RNAcentral's name for it is "partial 16S ribosomal RNA". It matches the Rfam family "Bacterial small subunit ribosomal RNA", at positions 163 to 384 of the family's 1533-position model. The record is from RNAcentral.
CUAAUACCGGAUACGACCAAUCUCCGCAUGGGGUGUUGGUGGAAAGCGUUAUGUAGUGGUUAUAGAUGGGCUCACGGCCUAUCAGCUUGUUGGUGAGGUAACGGCUCACCAAGGCGACGACGGGUAGCCGGCCUGAGAGGGUGACCGGCCACACUGGGACUGAGACACGGCCCAGACUCCUACGGGAGGCAGCAGUGGGGAAUCUUCCGCAAUGGGCGAAAGCCU